This 450-nucleotide ribosomal RNA is filed under the name uncultured bacterium. Its description in RNAcentral is "partial 16S ribosomal RNA". It matches the Rfam family "Bacterial small subunit ribosomal RNA", at positions 354 to 796 of the family's 1533-position model. The record is from RNAcentral.
GUGGGGAAUUUUGGACAAUGGGCGCAAGCCUGAUCCAGCAAUGCCGCGUGCAGGAAGAAGGCCUUCGGGUUGUAAACUGCUUUUGUACGGAACGAAACGGUCCGGGUUAAUACCCUGGGCUAAUGACGGUACCGUAAGAAUAAGCACCGGCUAACUACGUGCCAGCAGCCGCGGUAAGACGUAGGGUGCAAGCGUUAAUCGGAAUUACUGGGCGUAAAGCGUGCGCAGGCGGUUUUGUAAGACAGGCGUGAAAUCCCCGGGCUCAACCUGGGAAUUGCGCUUGUGAAUGCAAGGCUGGAGUGCGGCAGAGGGGGAUGGAAUUCCGCGUGUAGCAGUGAAAUGCGUAGAUAUGCGGAGGAACACCGAUGGCGAAGGCAAUCCCCUGGGCCUGCACUGACGCUCAUGCACGAAAGCGUGGGGAGCAAACAGGAUUAGAAACCCGUGUAGUCC